AACGCACCUUGCGCUCCUUGGUAUUCCGAGGAGCAUGCCUGUUUGAGUGUCAUAUAAAUUCUCAACUUUAUUUUCUUUUGCAAGAUAAUAAGGCUUGGAUUUUUGGAAGUUGCUGAUUUUUCUUUUUGAAAUCAGCUCUUCUUAAAUGCAUUAGCAGAAACCUAUUCUGAUUGCCUUUUGGUAUGAUAAUUAUCUAUACCAUGGAUACAAUUGGAGUUUAAAGGCUUUGCUUCUAAUCGUCUAUUACAAGACAAUCAUUUUUGACCAUUUUGACCUCAAAUCAGGUAGGACUACCCGCUGAACUUAA
This 307-nucleotide unclassified non-coding RNA is filed under the name uncultured fungus. Its description in RNAcentral is "sequence contains ITS2". The stretch from base 1 to 52 matches the Rfam family "5.8S ribosomal RNA", at positions 103 to 154 of the family's 154-position model. Lineage: Eukaryota; Fungi. The record is from RNAcentral.